Formica exsecta is the source of this 885-nucleotide RNA transcript. RefSeq lists it as uncharacterized. NCBI's taxonomy places the organism in Eukaryota, Metazoa, Arthropoda, Insecta, Hymenoptera, Formicidae. The transcript has 3 exons. The record is from RefSeq and is a predicted model, not a curated record.
GAGGAGACUCUCCUCAUCCAUAUUCGUUCUCUCUUUUUCUCUUUCUAUAUCUCGCCUUAAAACAACGCGUCAAAGCAGCCUCGCACGAUACCACCGUUGUAUCUAAUCUCCCCGGCAUAACGUAUGCAACGCGACGAAUAAAUAUUGUACCCCCGAAGGGAAUACUUUCGGUGUGGGUCGAUGUAUCGGCUAUUAAUAUCGUUCGCUCCGGUUAGUGUUAUUCGGAGUCUCCAGUCGCUCGACGAUACAAACGCGCUGUCUUUCCCCGGAAAUAUCCGAAAAGAUCGCACCGAGAAAUUGAGAGGAGACAUGCGAUUCCAAUCGCCGAUGAUUUUCCUUCUCUGCGCUGUCUCGCUCGCGAUCGCGCGACAAGUCGAGGACUGUCAAAAGGAUGUCGACGACGACGAGCUGAUCUGGGAGUAUGACGUCAGAAGACCGCACCGAACCGGUGGUUAUCAACUAUUGACAGUUGUAUCGAUCUAUUCACGAAUACAUUUCUCGAUUGUAACCAGGAAGUAGAGGCGGAUUACGGUCCGACGGACGUGAGAAUCACAUGCAUAAGAUACAACUCGUUGUCUGAUGAAGAUAACAGCGCGAUAUGGAUCACUUCCGGCGGAAUCGGACACGAUUUUGUCAAGCUAAAAUUCAGAUCGAAAUAUUCGCGAGGCCUUCACUACAGAGUCUUCGUUUACGGACAGCCAACUUUGAAAAGAAGUUCGCUAUCUUGAUGAUUAUUCUCUCAGAAAUCUUCGUAAAUCUCACCGUAUUUAAUCUCCUCUCUCACUCUUAUUUUAUAAUUAUAGAUACAUAUUUAAUCUGUUUGUGAAUGUUUUAUUUUUGUUUUAACAUUGUUAUAAGAUAUAUAUAUUCGUGCAAAGAAUUUAA